ACUACCACAACGCGGGGCGGAGCGAUCGGGGUGUCAAUCACAGACGGGGGCGGGAUAGACGAGUUCACCUCGUCUCGCGCUCUUCCCCCGGGCCCCGCCCCUGCGCGCCGCACCGAGCGACUUCCAAGAACUCCCAGCGUAGUCAGUGACUUGGGCCACGCCCCUCGCCCCCCAAACCGGUCUCUUCCGGACCGGAUUCCGCCCAGGCUCUCCGCGCGGGGCGCCCUCCCCCCCCCCCCCCCCCCGCCAAAGCACGCCCCACGGAUGCGGGAGUUUAGGGGCCGGGACGGAAGGCGGAGGCCGCGCCGGGGCGUGUGGGGCUGGGGGCCUGAUCCGAAUCAGGUCUUGUUUUCACAAAUGAUCAGAAAGGGCAAGGCGAAUGCACCCCUUGCGGUCCUCAGUGGAGUGAUAGAGCCUGGUUCUCUGCUCUCUGAGCUAGCCAGAGAGGUUCACCCUCAGGAGAGUCUGUGGGGCUCCAGGAGCUUCUGAGGGUCCCUGGAGCCCCAGCAUCCGGCCCUGGAGGCUUUUGGGUAGUUACAGGCCAGAUAACAUGCCCUGUUCUAAGAAGAGACUGCACACAGUGAUGCCUCCCACCCAGCCAGGUGCUGUGCCUGGCCGUCCCACAUUCUCAGUUAUCCAUCACUGCAAGCCUAAAUCAGAACUAAAGUAGGCCUGGGGCACCCAGGCGGCGCAGUCCGUGAAGCAUCCGACGCUUGAUCUCCGCUCAGGUCAUGAUCUCGCAGUUCGUGGGUUCGAGCCUCCUGUCAGUCUCUGCACUGAUGGUGUGGAGCCUGCUUGGGAUCCUCUC
This is a long non-coding RNA of Leopardus geoffroyi (Geoffroy's cat), 808 nucleotides long. RefSeq lists it as uncharacterized. The transcript is spliced from 3 exons. Lineage: Eukaryota; Metazoa; Chordata; Mammalia; Carnivora; Felidae. The record is from RefSeq and is a predicted model, not a curated record.